Molecule: ribosomal RNA, 516 nt
Filed under: uncultured bacterium
Lineage: Bacteria
Description: bacterial SSU rRNA
Rfam family: Bacterial small subunit ribosomal RNA
Source: RNAcentral
UCCUGGCUCAGAACGAACGCUGGCAGCGUGGAUUAGGCAUGCAAGUCGAACGGGAUCCGGUAGGCAGCAAUGUCGGCCGGUGAGAGUGGCGGAAGGGCGAGGAACACGUGGGCAACCUGUCUUGAGGUGGGGAAAACCUCGGGAAACUGAGGCUAAUACCGAAUGUAGCGCCCGCUCGCAUGAGCGGAGCGCCAAAGGGGCGAAAGCUCCCCUCUUCGAGGGCCCGCGCACCAUCAGCUAGUCGGCGGGUAACGGCCCACCGAGGCUCACGGUUAGCUGGUCUGAGAGGAUGGCCAGCCGCACUGGGACCGAGAUACUGCCCAGACUCCUACGGGAGGCUGCAGUCGAGGAUCAUUUGCAAUGGGCGAAAGCCUGACAAUGCGACGCUGCGUGGAAGGAUGAAGGCCCUCGGGUUGUAAACUCCUGUCAUGGGGGAAAAGGAAACCCUGCCCAAUACGCAGGGAAUUUGAUGGUACCCCAAGAGGAAGCGACGGCUAACUCUGUGCCAGCAGCUGC